Molecule: long non-coding RNA, 954 nt
Organism: Saccostrea cuccullata (small rock oyster)
Lineage: Eukaryota; Metazoa; Mollusca; Bivalvia; Ostreida; Ostreidae
Exons: 3
Source: RefSeq, a predicted model, not a curated record
UAUCUGUGUGUCUGUCUGAGUGUCUGUUGUCAACUUAAACCUUCACCAUAACUUUAGAACUAUACGAGAUAGUGGCUUCAUAUUUAGUAUGCAUACUCCACUAAAGAAGUGCUUUCAAAUGGCAACAAGGACAAUGAUUAAAUGUGAUCUUGACUGUGACCUGUAUGCUAAAAAAAAUUGCAUUUUCGAACUUUGUUGCUGUGUUUCACAAGCGCAUCUUGUUUUUAGCUCUACUGGUCAGAGACCAGAAGAGCUUAUGCGAUAGUAAUGCGUCCGGCGUCCGUCUGUCUGUCCAUCUGUCUGCAAACACUACUCCUCCUUAAAUUUUAGUCUGAUUUCUAUAUAACUUGGCACACAAGUAGACUAUACUAAGAUACAUAAUUCUGUGCAUCAGUUUUUGAUAAGUACAAACCAGUAGAGCUACAGUCUCGACAGAGACUUCUGGUUAUUUUUUCUUCCAUCCCGGUUGUUGCUAAUGCUAUUACAUAAUUAGUUUAAAUUAGAAUGCAAUAGUACCUGGACAUAAUUUAUCAUUUCAGAGAGAAGAAAACUGUGUGACUUUAAAAGAAAACCAGUGAGAUAAAAUCAUAGAAAAUGUAUGAUGAUUCAGGAUGUGGUUAUUUGGUCCUGUUCUGUGGAUGCCCUAAGACAGUGUCUACCCAUCACUCCAUCUGAAAUCACUUGUUCUGUGCAUAUUUCUCUCUCAAACUUAAACUACAAAGAGCCUGUGGAUAGAGGAUGAAGAGUGACCUUGGACUAAUUUUCUAGGUCAAAGAUCAUAGGUGAUGUGAAGAAAACCAGGAAACUGAUGUUGAAAGAAGUACUUAAUGACCCGUAUGAAUGGACUUAAAUGUGAAAGACUGUUCCAUUGUUUAUCUAAGAUAUAUGAAUUUAUUUAAUAUUUUGAUAUCAUUGAAAAAUUCAGUUACAGUUUUUGUACAUCAAAUGAAUUAU